AUUAUUAAUAUUAAUUUUUCUCGAAUUAAAAAGUUCUAAUUAAAUAUUAUAUAAUUGUUUCAUAAAUUUUUAUAAUUUUUAAUUAGUAAUGAAAUGUUAUUCGUUUUUUAAUAUAUCUAGUUUUUUAAGAAAAGAAUUUAAUUCUUUUAUUAUUUAUUUAUUAAUUAAUUUUUAGUUAAUAAUUUUUAAUAAAAAAUAUCUAAAGGGAUGAUCUUUUAUUUAUAAUAUUAAAAAUUUAGUUUAUUUUAUAAUUAUUGUAUAAUUUGAAUUGUUAAUCAUAUAAAUAAUUUAAUAAUUAAUUUUAUUUAUUUUAAUAUUUGUAUUUAUUUUAAUUUUUAUAUUAAAAAAAAAAGUUUAAUUUUAUUUCUUUUGUUAUAAUGAUUAAAUUAGUAGAUUAUUUUGUAUUAAAAGUUUAUUUUAAAUAAGGUAAUUAAAAGGAACUCGGCAAAUUAAUUUUUCGCCUGUUUAUUAAAAACAUGUCUUUUUGAUUAUAAUUUAAGGUUUAAUCUGCUCAAUGAUUAUUUAAAUUGCUGCAGUAUUUUGACUGUGCAAAGGUAGCAUAAUAAUUAGUUUCUUUAUUAGGAACUGGAAUGAAUGAUUGGACGAGAAAAUUUCUGUCUCUUUAUUAUUUAAAUUGAAUUUUACUUUUAAGUUAAAAGGCUUAAAUUUUUUUAGAGGACGAGAAGACCCUAUAGAGUUUAAUUUUUAUUUGAUUAAUUAUUAUUAGUAUUUAUAUUUAUUAUUUAAAUAAAAAUUUAGUUGGGGUGACUUAAAGAUAUGAAUAACUCUUUUAAAUUUUUAUCAAUUAUUUUUGACUAUAAAAUCUUUGUUUUUAAUUUUAAAAUAAAUUACCUUAGGGAUAACAGCGUAAUUCUUUUUAAAAGUUCAUAUUGAA
This 895-nucleotide ribosomal RNA is filed under the name Luciola kuroiwae. RNAcentral's name for it is "partial 16S rRNA". The record is from RNAcentral. Lineage: Eukaryota; Metazoa; Arthropoda; Insecta; Coleoptera; Lampyridae.